GACGAACGCUGGCGGCGUGCUUAACACAUGCAAGUCGAACGGAAAGGCCCCUUUGGGGGUACUCGAGUGGCGAACGGGUGAGUAACACGUGAGUAACCUGCCCUUGACUUCGGGAUAACUUCAGGAAACUGGGGCCAAUACCGGAUAGGAAUCCUUGCUGCAUGGUGGGGGUUGGAAAGCUUCGGCGGUUUUGGAUGGACUCGCGGCUUAUCAGCUUGUUGGUGGGGUAGUGGCUUACCAAGGCUUUGACGGGUAGCCGGCCUGAGAGGGCGACCGGCCACAUUGGGACUGAGAUGCGGCCCAGACUCCUACGGGAGGCAGCAGUGGGGAAGAUUGCACAAUGGGCGGAAGCCGGAUGCAGCAACGCCGCGUGCGGGAUGACGGCCUUCGGGUUGUAAACCGCUUUCAGCAGGGGCGAAGCUUGUGGUGACGGUACCUGCAGAAGAAGCACCGGCUAACUACGUG
Molecule: ribosomal RNA, 465 nt
Filed under: uncultured bacterium
Lineage: Bacteria
Description: partial 16S ribosomal RNA
Rfam family: Bacterial small subunit ribosomal RNA
Source: RNAcentral